Molecule: long non-coding RNA, 574 nt
Organism: Tachysurus fulvidraco (yellow catfish)
Lineage: Eukaryota; Metazoa; Chordata; Actinopteri; Siluriformes; Bagridae
Exons: 2
Source: RefSeq, a predicted model, not a curated record
UCUCUCUCUCUCUCUCUCUCUCUCUCUCUCUCUCUCUCUGCCCCCCCCCCUCUGUGUGUCUGUAAAAAAUAAUUAUACCAUUCUAUUUGUACUCUCCCUGUAUGCUCGUGUCCAUAUGUCAUUCGUCAUCAAGAGGCCAAAAAAGUAGGGGAAAAAAUCCAAUAACAAUCAGCGUUCCCUCGAGACGACAGACUGGUUGGGGGAAACUCCGCGCAUAACGGCUGCGGGAAGGAGAGCGCGCUUACGGUGGAUGAGGGAAGGAGGUGUUGGGGUCAACGGGCAGCAACUGAUAGAAGACGGAGUGAGGACAGGGGAAUAAUGCGAGAACAUGCGUGUUUAUCCCUGUAAUGCCACCUUGUCUGUGUUCUUAAAGAACAGCAAGGAUUUUGUGUUUGAUUUUUGGAGUUAUCCCAGUGAUCCCGAUUGUUUUAGAAUUUUUUUUUUUUAGAACCUUUCAUUAGAGUUCCUGAGUGAGCAAAUAAAAUGAUUGCACAAAUUGAGAAUUCCACAUGUCUGGAUAAAAAAGUGCCAUCACAAAAGCAGCACAACAUUAAAAAAUUAUUUUGGGAAAUUA